RNAcentral lists this long non-coding RNA (6618 nucleotides) under Coffea arabica (coffee). RNAcentral's name for it is "long non-coding RNA (CARA_LNC000883)". The record is from RNAcentral. Lineage: Eukaryota; Viridiplantae; Streptophyta; Magnoliopsida; Gentianales; Rubiaceae.
UUCAGCUGUUUGGCGAAUCAGAAACAUUAUCCUGGAAAUAUGUGCAAAAAGAAUGUUUUUGCUGUGAUUGGGAUUGUGGGCCAGAGUUGAAACUUCAUAUAUCUAUGUCAGAGAGAUCGAACAAUGAGAGGCUUUAAAUAGUUUGAUUCAGUUGCAAAAUUGUCUAAUGCUCAUCAUAUUAUCCUCUAAAAAAAAUUUAAGCUGGUCUCAUGCUGCUUAGUUCUCUCAGUGUGGACUCGUAGUUCAUCUUCUGUGAUGAUUGCCAUACUGUCUGCUUAUCUGUUUAAUCCUUUUCCUUUGAAACUCCAUCAUUCUCUUGGUUAUUGUACCAACGACCGGUUACUAAUUUAGUAACAGAGUAACUAAUGUUUUAGAACUAGAGAUGGAGCUAUUCCUGGUGAUAAAGGGGCCUCCAAUCACCUUGUGGUUACGCUUCAAUCCUAUCUCUCAGUUGCCUGUUUUCUUUGCUAGCUUGUUCAGUAUGGAUGGAGACUUUGCACCAAUAGUUGAGCUUGUGAAGCUACGCAGGAAGCAUGGUUUUUUGUUGGCAAUUGACGAUGUAAGUGUCUUGUAAGUUGAUAUGCAAUUCAAAAUUUAAAAGUUGAUUGCAUGAUAUGUAAUUAGUAAGGUUGUGAUGGCCAUAUGUGAACACGUCAAAGUUUCCCCUAAGUCUCUUGACUUAUCAUUUUAGUGAUGAAGUCCAUAUGGAGUAUUUACCGGAUGAAAGAUGAACUUCAUAUCUAGGAAUCACUUUGAUUAUAUUUUGCCUGAGGUUUAGCAUAUCUAUUUAUUUUUCAUCAGUAAAAAGUAACUAAUCCAGAAAAGUGCUUGUUGCAUAAUUUGUCUAGGCUCAUGCAACAUUGGUUUGUGGCAAAACUGGUGGUGGUGCUGCAGAGAAGUUCAAGUGUGAAAAUGAUGUUGACAUUUGCAUAGGCACUUUAAGUAAGGCUUCUGGUUGCCAUGGUGGAUUUAUAGCCUGCAGGUAAUUUUGCUAAUUGCCUGUUUGAAGGUAGUGGGCUUUUGUUUGGAAGGAAGGGGGUAAGAAGAAAUGAGAAUUCCACACACACUCUUUUUUCCAAGUUAAGCGGUCCCUAAUGGUUUUUCAAAGUUAAAUUCUGUUUAUGAGUUCUGUUUUGCUCUAUCCUGUUCUAGUGGUGCAAGUUGUUAUGCUUAAAUAUCUUUUACUGUUAAUUGCAUCAGUUUCUUAGAUUUGUUAAAAUCUCAGCUAACCGUUCGCUUUUGUUCAUUUUUAUUUAGUUUUUUGUUUGUUCAGAAACUGAUAAAUGGCAAGGAAAUUUUUUUUUUUUUCAUUUAAAGGUUUGUAAUAAGUAUGUUGUGUCUGGCUCUUGGAUAGAUUGCCUUCCAGUGACAAAUAAGAAAUUAAAAAUCAAACAUACAGAGAUGAAUUUACCAGUGAUUGUUUACACUAGUGGUGCAAUUAAUGUUUAAUAAUAUAUCAACAUUUUCCAUUUGAUGCUAAAUUAACAGCAAGAAAUGGAAGCAACUGAUACAGUCAAGGGGUCGCUCUUUCAUAUUUUCAACUUCUACUCCGGUACCAAUUGCUGCAGCAGCACACGGUAAGCUUAGUUUAUAGAAUUGGAGUGGGUUAGUCUAUCCAGUCCCUCACACUGUAGUAUUUCAAUUCAAGCACUUUUGCCUAUUGAUGGGGAUACCAGGUGCCACUUUAUGUGCCAUGAACUUCUAUAAAUUAAUGAGCUGUCAAUAGUGUAAAAAGACAUUGCGGGGCCAUAGUCGAAUUGAUUUCUAAAUGCAGUCGAUGUCUCAACUUCGCAUGACUAAGUUCAUGAAUUUAACGUGAAAGCUUUUAACUGAAGAGACGACUACAUAUUGUAACUCAGAAAGGAUAGCGAUUUUGUAAAUUGGGGCUUUAAUCUUUCUUUUCUUAGAUUCUUUAUUGAAUUUAACUUAUUCCCUUUGCAGCUGCUGUUAAUGUAGCAAAACAGGAGACAUGGCGUAGAAAGGCCAUUUGGAAUCGGGUACUAGAAUUCCGUGCCAUGACAAGAAUUCCCAUUACUAGUCCCAUUAUUUCCCUUAUUGUAGGGAGUGAAGUGAAGGCCUUGGAAGCUAGCCGGUAAUUCCCCUCUUUCCCCAAUCCCUCCCUCUCUUUAAAAGUUUCUGUGUCAUCAUUGCUCCUAACCAUGUGAAUUAUGAUGAAUAGGCAUCUUCUGAAAUCUGGUUUUCAUGUAACCGCUAUAAGGCCCCCAACAGUGCCUUCAAACUCAUGCAGGUUUGUCGGACGCUGGAAUCUUUUUGAUGAUCCGAACUUCUUUGCCAUUUAUAUGCUGUUGUCCAAACCACACAAUUCACUGUUGUACCCUGCGUCAAUGCAUUAUUUUUGUCAUCCAUUUUGGAAUGGUUCCUCCUGCGCUCACUAUAUGGUGAAGUUGCAAAACCAUUCUUGUUAGUUGUACCUUUAAGUGUCUUAGAUGCAGUAACUUGACAAUAAUUUGGUUUGUUCUGCAAAUUUUUCUUGUUUACUUUAGGCUUUCUGAUCAUAUCAAAAUUGCCUACCUUUUCUAGGUUAAGGAUAGCUCUGAGUGCUGUGCACACGCGGGAUGAUUUGAGAAAGCUCGUAACUGCAUUGUCUGAAUGCAUCAAUUUUGAGGAGAUAGGAUUCAACUGUAAAAAUUAUUCAUCCAAACUGUGAUCCUAUUUGUUCCUUUAUAUAAUUGCUUAAGGCAUCUUUUUACUGAUAAGAUUUGCAGCUUUAAGUUUUUUUAUUCCCUAGAUAUAACCAUCUAGAUUUUGGUAAAAUAGUCUGAAAUGAUCCACCAAUGCUCCUCCAUCCAUUUUCUUCCACUAUGUCAGCUGAAGUGGAUAAGGGAGAUUCAAUAUCUUCAGUUGGAGUAGAUGCAGUGUAUCCUUAUUGCAAGUACCAGGACGAGAACAAGUUAAAAAUGGACAAAAGAAGUUACACAUUGAGAGACUUGGUGAAAUAAGUACUAAUAAAUCACCAGCCAACCCUUGUUGCUCCAACAUGCAAUAUUACGUUCCCCCAGGAGAGGGAUCAAAUUUUCACAGUUUCAUUCACUACUGAAACUGAAAUCCUUAACUCUAGGACCUUGGAAAACAUCCUACUGCCCUCAAGCUCUUGGGCCCUAAAGAGCAAUACUAGCUUCCCGCUCAAUUCAGAAACAAAUGUAAAAUGAAAUUCAGUUUAAACUUCUAAUCACCCAAUUCAGCUCAACCCUGGCUGGACUGAUCAGAGGCAGAGUUAGCAGUUGCCAGAGCUAGCCAAUUCCCCAUUGCCUUCUCGGGGGACAAGCAUGAAGCUGAUGAAGAGCAGCACUUGGUUGGCUGCUUCUGGAGAUGUCCCGUUGUUUCACUUGCUGCAUUAUUACCACAGCCAACCCCACCAGUCAUCACUUCCCAAGGUCUACUUGUCUCCUUUUUACCUUCAUCGGGUAGCAACUGCAGGAUACAAUUGCAAAACACCCUCACUAAGCAUUUUAACGGAUAAACCAGGGCAUAAGUUUCAUGGCAUGGAUGGACUCAAAAAGAAAAAGAAGAAAAGAGAAAGGUGGAAACUUUAGUACCUGAGGCAUCAAAGUAGAAGUUGCAGCGGGACGUGGUAAAGAUGAAGGGAGGCCAGAUAAUACUUCGACAGAAUUAUAAGGAACAUCAUUUAGGUUGAUAGGAGUUGUUUUCUUGUUUGCAGUGGUGGUGGUUGUCACAGUGGAGGAGUCACUGUGAUCCCCAUGGUCAUUAGAUAAUGUGGAGACCGUGACUUUCACAGCACGUCUCUCGGCUAGAGGCUUCACUGGAGAAGUUGGUUGGUGGUGGUUGUUAGUGUUGGUGGUAUGGUAGUAAGGGAGCAAAGGGGGAGCCACGGCAGUGGAGGAAGAGACUGAAGGUGGAGUUGGGACCACUAAAAGAUCCUCAACCUGGACCACAACCCGAGGGGACACCAUAUUGUGGCUAGUAGUGCUACCGGUGGCGGUGUUGUUGCAGAUGUUGCGGGCCAUGUUUGGCCAAAGGAACGUCCCCUGGGGCUUGCAGAUCCUGAACCCACUCUUCAGCCUUUCGAUCUUUGCUGCUUUUUUCUCUGCCGUUGCUGCUUCCGCUGCCGCUGCAUUUUCUGCUUUAGCUGAACCCUCCAGCUCCCCAACAUUUACUACUACUUGUACUUCUUGCUCCUUCGUCCCUUUCUCCAAUUCCACGAUCUCUUUUCCAGCAGUACCAGACUCCUUUGACACAAUUAAUUCGGUGUUGGACCGUGCUUCUCCUUUAGCUUCCGGCAUGAGCUUCUUUAUUUCUUCCUGAAUUCCAUGUAUCCAAUCGAGUAUGUAUCAGUAUCAUACUUAACAACAGCAGCAUAUGCAACCAAGAUAUUUUUGUCAUCUAUGAAUAUUAGCACGUUACAACGAGUUACUCAACUAAUUAAGAACUAGACACUAAAUAGUACUGCAUGCAAUUAGAACUCGUUUAAUUGAGAGAGAACGUCUAAGCUGCAGAGGCUUAAAUCAGAUUUCUUGAAGCAUCAGAUAGCUGCUACCUCUAUUCCUCUUGCAAAAUCUUGAAUGACAAUUAAUUGAUCCUUGUACUUCUCCUGCCCCAAAAAAUCAAAGUAAUAUGGUCAAGCAAAGGUUUCUUCAACUUUAAGUACUUGAAUGAGACACUAAUAUGCUUUUUGUAAGUACUCAUAUACCAGUGAAACGGGUAGUUCGGAAAGAUGAGACUUUGAAGAAACCAAUGAAUUAGCAAGCUGAUCGAACUUUUCACUGAUGUCGCACUGAUUUGACGAAAAUCCAAUAGCUUGGUUUACCCCUUGCUUCUUGUUGGAGACAAGCUUGUCAAUCUCUCUGAUCAAGCAAGCAGACCAUAAACAUUAAAAGAGAAGCACUCAAAGAGAAGUUCAUUAGAGCCAUUAAUUUGCUAUUCCGGUGAAAGAUGUGAUCAUUAUUAGAAAGUUUAGACUUGACCUUCUUAGCUUUCCAACUUCCUCCUCCAGCUGCUUUCUGGGCGCCAUCUCCAGUGCAUUUCUGGUAAUACAGCAAUGUCCACCAAAGAAAAGGUUAAACAUUAAAACCCAACAAAAUUAAGACAUGCAACCGUAACUAGCUAUCAGUUUGUGCAAAUUAAUUAGUACGUAGUAUGUGGUAUCUAUUUUACCUUUUAAGAUGGGAAAUCUCUUCUUUCAAGAGCCUCAACUCCUUAGCGCAGAUAGGGUCCUGAGUGGGGCAGUCACCAGGCUUCCAUCCAGGUGGUGGGAUCCAAUAGGGAUCAUUCACACCAGCAUCCUGCCUUAUUUUGACAAGAUCAGCACUUUCUAACCAGUACUCCAUCGCACCAUCCGCAUUAUGCCGCCUCCUGAACCGUUCUUCUCCACCUGGUGCAAGCUUACCGGCCAUGUGCUUGAGGAGAUGAUCUAACAGCCCAGUGUCCCCAAUCUUCUUCCUUGCCUCUGCCCUCAGGUCGGGCCUGAGAAUUGGGUUACCAGCUGUGGCCCCCUUGGCUUUCAUAACCUCCAAAAGGUUCUUUGUUGCAAGUUGGUACCUUCAUACAUAGACGCAUGGAAAAUUAAAUUAAGGCAAAAAAAAAACCUAAAAGUCCAUUAAAUGCUGAUAGUUAUUGUUUUAAUGUCGACGAAUACAAGAAACACGGAGUAAACAUUUUUUAUGUUCUUACCUCUCAGCAGACCAUCUAUCUUUGGGGUUUUCCAUCACUAAGAGUUCCCGGCAUUUGUUUCUGCCCCUCCUGGCGUGAGUCUUCUUAAGCUUCUUCUUCUUCUCACGUUCAACUUUCUUUGCCUUCUGUCUGGUAGUACCAUUUCUCAGCUUGUACCUCUUUCUCUUGAGAUUUCUAUUCAUCUCUUGGGUCUCCUCUUCUGCCUCAGUUUCUUCGUUUGCAACAUCAACCACGUCGUCUUCCCUUUCAUCAUCAUCUCCAUCAUCUUCUUCCCUUUCUUCUUGUUCAUCCUUCUCGUCAUCUUCUUUGUUAUCAUCGUCAUCAUCACGAUCAUCAUCAUCAUCAUCAUCAUCAUUAACAUCGUUAUCAUCUUCAUCUUUAGCUUCUGCUGGUUUUCUAAUGACUUCAAUUGCCUUUUUACCACCUGUUCUAAAACUCGAAGGAGACCGAAGGUUGCCACUUAUGUUUUCGUUGUGCCUUUCCAGAAACUUGACCUGUCGUCGGGUUCCCCACCGAACCAUUCCCAUGCCCUUGAGCUCCGUCAAACAGUUGCCAUUCCUGUAACUAUUGUCCUCUUCAGAAACAUUGACUGCAGUAGCAUUCACCAACCAGAAUCCCUCCAAAUGCUUAUUCUCGGCAAACUCCUGAGAAGGGAUCUGCCGAAGGAGCACUUUGGCAGCAAGCGCUGUUCCCAUCUGCUUAGUUCUCUCAGUGUGGACUCGUAGUUCAUCUUCUGUGAUGAUUGCCAUACUGUCUGCUUAUCUGUUUAAUCCUUUUCCUUUGAAACUCCAUCAUUCUCUUGGUUAUUGUACCAACGACCGGUUACUAAUUUAGUAACAGAGUAACUAAUGUUUUAGAACUAGAGAUGGAGCUAUUCCUGGUGAUAAAGGGGCCUCCAAUCACCUUGUGGUUACGCUUCAAUCCUAUCUCUCAGUUGCCUGUUUUCUUUGCUAGCUUGUUCAGUAUGGA